CUCCAUCAGAUGUUGCACAGAAUAUAUUUUCUCUCCUUUGAGUUACAUUUUCACAAAUCUUUCAAAAAAACAUUAUACAUGAACACAACAAACGAAAGAAAGAGAAUCAAAGGCGCACUUUGACACUGAAAGAAUCUGCAGUCUAAACUUAAACUGAAAUCUUGGAUCUAUACGAUUAAUAACUGCGAGCCAAAUGGACAAUUAACAAAUGAACAGAUAUUUUGUCAAAGGUUUGUAAAAUGUAAAACGUCAUUAAAACCAUUAAAUAUAUGAAACACUGUGACACUUUUCACGAAAAAAUAAAUAAAUAAAUAAAAAAUAACAAGCUCGUAUGGGCAUAGCUAUAAUCAUUGCAGUAAACUCACUCUGAAGGUAGCUUUCUGCUAACAAAAAAAAAAAAUGAGCGGAAACAUAUCAGUUUCUUUAGAGUAAAACGAAAGAGUUAUAAGCUGCUUUUAGUUAUUUUGUUUUCAUUUAUUAUUCAUUUAAUGAAUUUGGUUUUCAUUUAUCAUCCAUUAGAUAGGCUAGCUAGUCUACAUGUAAUCAUCAUCGAUAAAUAGGCUAUUACAUUAGUUGCGGAUAUUUUGGGGGGAAUAUCGAAAAUUACCAGACUCAUAUUUUUAGACCCAAAAUAUGAUUUCUCUCUUACUCCCUCGGUCUUCUUUCUUUUUUCUGUCUUUCUGUCUUUCUAAGUAGCCUACAUAAAAUCAUUAAUUUAAAAUGCAUUUGCUCGUCAAUAAGCUUUAUAGAAAAGGAGGGCAUGCAAUUUUUGACAAACAUCAAGUGAACAUAACUGUAAAGUUUUUUAUUAACAUGGCAUUUAAGAUGAAUUUUUAAAUGAAACCAUGCGCGUUAAUAAUACUAGGGUUUUGCUGUAUGCUUGAAAGCGAUUAUCACAAUGUAAAAAAAUAAAUACAUAAAAAUAAAAAAUCCGUGCAAUAAACACGGCUUUAACUGCAUGAUCUUAAAUUAUAAAUCGCGUGUAACCCGCGUAUUGGCCAGAAGUGGCUGCGACGAUGUUUUUGAAAUUACAUUUUAAAAAAUAAAAUUAACCUUUGAGAUGCCUCUUUGCUUUCUAUCACACAUUUCCUGGCUUUAUUAAGUUCUCUGUCUUAAGAAAGCGGAAAGUAGCCUAUAUAAACGACUUUUCCCUCGUGUUUUUACAGUCAACUGCACAGUGGGCUACUGGAUAUAAUUUGCAACAAGAGCGACAAUAGUUGGUCAUUACUGAUAAUUGAGGGUGACAAAAAUAUAACGGACUAACAAAGAAAUCUACCAUAAAGCCAAUAUGUGGCUAUAUGUUUUCAAAACUGAUGCUGCUAGCCUAUUAAUGUGCGUGUAGCCUGGAUUUUAUUUCCCCAAAACAGAAAUGUGUUUAACGUGUCUACAAAAAUAGAAAAAGACACAAGGCUCCUAUAUAAUGUAAAGCUUAGUAUUUAUUUAUCUAUCUAUCAUUAUUUUAUUACAAUUUGAAAUCGUUGUAUCAGUCAGUUUGCUUUUUAAAAGAUGACGACAGUCGUAGAUUUAUAUUAAUGGAAGCUUUGAGAGAGGAAAAACUAAUACAUAAUCAAAUAGCCUGCAGUUAAAAUGAUAGAUUACAUUAUGAAUUUAUGAAUGGUAUGUUCACGUGGAAUUAUCGCUCUUGUCUCCUGAUAAAUCGUUACAUUUGUUUCUGCAGGAGUGCGCCACAGAGCAUUUCGCCACUAGAUGUCGCCACGUGUUACAGAAAUGCAUCACAGGGACUCAAAUUUCAUUUCUCACUUCGAAUGAAUUUCUAGAGCACGAAUGGCUGAGGCAAUAUUUAGAAAUGGCUUGAAAUAUCAUUAAGAAUAGAGUUUAUUGUUUUAUUUGCUGUCUUACACGUUUAGAGGAAUUGGCCACGAGGUUAUGUGUCCAACACGAAAAAAAAAGAUGUAGCUUAGCAAUUGAAAAGAGGAAGGCAAAAACGAAAGUUUAUUAACACUAUAAAAUAUUUGUAAAUACCCACCGUUUUAUGACAAUUCUCUGUUAAUCGUAUGUGUGCACUGCAUUACAAUAAGCUAAACAAUAGAAAGAAAACAUGAAUGUCUUUGUAUUGAAUUACCUGGAAAUCAGCCUCCCUCCUCUCUCUUACUCCUUCUCCACCCCUCUCUCUCUAUCAUACGUUUAACUCACUUAAACAACAAGUCUAGAACCUAUCUGAUAUAUAUCUAUAUCGGUGAUAUUAAUGAUUGUGAAAAGAACCACGAGAGAGAUAAAGGAGAGGAGAAAUAGAAAUAAGCCAUAGUCUACGGCUCGUUUAGACGCUAGACAUUUUAGAUUUCUCGUUCUCAUUAUUUACACGCGUAAUUAAAGAGGCUGGAUUACAGAGCUGUUUUUUGAUGCAAUAAGUGACCAUUAAGACAGUUUGCUGCAUAUAUUUUCAAUUUUACUGUAUUUGUUUAUUAAAAUCGAUAAUAAGAAUCAUCAUCUUUUCAAACUAUUAACAGUAUAUUUACAGGGACACGUUGGGAAAAAAUAUAUCCUGUUCAAGAUACGCAAAAACAAAAAUCAGGGUUUUUUUUAACGUUUAAUCCAAAGUAUGUAGGCUAACGGUUACAGACUAUAAAAUGUGUGAAAGAGUCAGUGAAUACAAAAAUCCUACAGUUGCCAAAUCUUCUCAUUGAAACGUCUUUUUUCAUGAGCCUCGAAAACAUUCUCAAAGUUAUUAAGACUCUUUUGGAUUAGGUUUUAAGGGUGUCUUCAGGAAUUGCCUGAAAUCUCUUUUCAUUCUCCGUAAAGUCGAAAUAUGACUAAAUAUGCACCCUACAUUAACUUUAUACUAACUAUAGAUUAGGUAACUUGGUCCAUAAGACCGAUCAAUGGCAAAAACAAAAAACAAAUUUUUUUUUUUUUUUGCCAUCAAUGGCAAAAAAAAUGCUCCGAAUUUAAUGCAAAAUAACAUAAGAAUAUCGUGAAAAUAAAUUAAGAUUUGAAAAUAGCUAAUAUAAUUUAAUCUCCAAUUAGGCUAUACAGAAACACUUUUAUAUGGUUUAUAUUAGCUAUAAUUCAGGACGUUAUGGUGAGUCAUUGUCUCCCAUUAUAUUUAAAGGAGCUGUGGGAAAGUUUGAAAUCCUUUUCUCUAUAGGUUUUAAAUAUGCAUAAGUAUGGUAAUCGCGGUCCUGCUGUGUUGCAAACAGACGCAGCAGAUCACACAUGUGCUACACAACUUCGGACCGUAAAGUCGCCAAGAUGAGGACAUGCAGAGUCCAAGUAAGUCCUGUUUUUCUCAUUGACGUCUGUUCGUAUAAAGAGAUAUAGCAGGGCUGUCUGAAGUUUAAGACGGAAAACAUGCGAGCAUAGGACAGCACGUGUGUUGACCCAUUGGGAGUAAAUCUUUACGCGUGUGCGCGUCUGACCACUUCUAUUGGGUGCCAGAUCAGUUGAGCAAAGGUUCACAAGAUGAAGAUCAGACGCUUUACGAGUAGGAACUAUGAAGAAGAGAUGCCUAAGAUUGCGCAAAAAGUUCUGGAAAAGAGUCUUGACUCGAAAGUAAACGCGGUUAAAUUAAUAGGAAGUGGAUAUUAGGCCUAAUGAUGACUUUAGCGGGCUGAAAAAAAUGUCACCAUUACUUACCCACUGGAAGAGAGCAGGAGAAAACUGGCAUCAGUGUUAUCAAAUGAUAAACCAACAUGAGACGUGCGACAACCCAGCCUGGGUAUAAUUUGCAAGGCAUGUGUAGAGCAUUAAUACAAUUUCUAAAUGUGUGUGAUUGGGUGUGGUUGUCUGUAUGCAUGUGUUUACCAUUUCUUCCAUUUCCCAAAAGAUCAGUGAUUUGUGUGCACCGGCACAUGAAAGACCGUUAAAAUAAUGCCCAUCCCCAGACAGGAGACACAAUACUGCGUUAGUCUGUGGCACACACACGUCUGGGCCUCUCCUCAGACACAAUAUGGCGAAUGGAAAGAGAGAGAGAGGAGGGGGGUGUGAAAGCAGAGACAGACACUCAGAAUAAUGCAUAAUGAUGUUAACAUUCCUGCAUGUCUAAUAGAGCAGGACCCAGUCACAGAGAGAUGCACCAAGUCAGAUGAACACGUGUGUGUGUGUGUGUGUGUGUGUGUGUGUGUGUGUGUGUGUGUGUGUGUGUGUGUGUGUCCAUGCACUCAGCAUCCUAAGAUACAUUAAUUUAGACUCUUU
This is a long non-coding RNA of Cyprinus carpio carpio, 4152 nucleotides long. NCBI's taxonomy places the organism in Eukaryota, Metazoa, Chordata, Actinopteri, Cypriniformes, Cyprinidae. The record is from Ensembl.